GCGCACGUGGCGAAAUUGGCAGACGCGCUACUUUGAGGUGGUAGUGCCGCAAGGCAUGCAGGUUCAAGUCCUGCCGUGCGCACCA
This 85-nucleotide transfer RNA is filed under the name Pedosphaera sp. RNAcentral describes it as "tRNA-Leu". It matches the Rfam family "tRNA". Rfam says of the family: Transfer RNA (tRNA) molecules are approximately 80 nucleotides in length. Their secondary structure includes four short double-helical elements and three loops (D, anti-codon, and T loops). Further hydrogen bonds mediate the characteristic L-shaped molecular structure. tRNAs have two regions of fundamental functional importance: the anti-codon, which is responsible for specific mRNA codon recognition, and the 3' end, to which the tRNAs corresponding amino acid is attached (by aminoacyl-tRNA synthetases). tRNAs cope with the degeneracy of the genetic code in two manners: having more than one tRNA (with a specific anti-codon) for a particular amino acid; and 'wobble' base-pairing, i.e. permitting non-standard base-pairing at the 3rd anti-codon position. The record is from RNAcentral. Lineage: Bacteria; Pseudomonadati; Verrucomicrobiota; Pedosphaerae; Pedosphaerales; Pedosphaeraceae.